CAUUGUGAUGGAAACCAGGAGAAGCCGCACCAGACUGUCCAGAGAAAGAUGUAGCAAAAGAUCGCCCAGUGCCGUCCGGAA
Citrus sinensis (sweet orange) is the source of this 81-nucleotide non-coding RNA. NCBI's taxonomy places the organism in Eukaryota, Viridiplantae, Streptophyta, Magnoliopsida, Sapindales, Rutaceae. The record is from Rfam.